Molecule: ribosomal RNA, 427 nt
Filed under: uncultured bacterium
Lineage: Bacteria
Description: partial 16S ribosomal RNA
Rfam family: Bacterial small subunit ribosomal RNA
Source: RNAcentral
UGGGGAAUAUUGGACAAUGGGCGAAAGCCUGAUCCAGCCAUGCCGCGUGUGUGAAGAAGGUCUUCGGAUUGUAAAGCACUUUAAGUUGGGAGGAAGGGCAUUAACCUAAUACGUUAGUGUUUUGACGUUACCGACAGAAUAAGCACCGGCUAACUCUGUGCCAGCAGCCGCGGUAAUACAGAGGGUGCAAGCGUUAAUCGGAAUUACUGGGCGUAAAGCGCGCGUAGGUGGUCUGUUAAGUUGGAUGUGAAAUCCCCGGGCUCAACCUGGGAACUGCAUUCAAAACUGACUGACUAGAGUAUGGUAGAGGGUGGUGGAAUUUCCUGUGUAGCGGUGAAAUGCGUAGAUAUAGGAAGGAACACCAGUGGCGAAGGCGACCACCUGGACUAAUACUGACACUGAGGUGCGAAAGCGUGGGGAGCAAACG